UCGGGAAUUUUGGGCAAUGGGCGAGAGCCUGACCCAGCAACGCCGCGUGAAGGAUGAAGUAUUUCGGUAUGUAAACUUCGAAAGAAUAGGAAGAAUAAAUGACGGUACUAUUUAUAAGGUCCGGCUAACUACGUGCCAGCAGCCGCGGUAAUACGUAGGGACCAAGCGUUGUUCGGAUUUACUGGGCGUAAAGGGCGCGUAGGCGGCAAUUCAAGUCAUCUGUGAAAUCUCCGGGCUUAACUCGGAACGGUCAGAUGAUACUGCUUUGCUAGAGUGCAGAAGGGGCAAUCGGAAUUCUUGGUGUAGCGGUGAAAUGCGUAGAUAUCAAGAGGAACACCUGAGGUGAAGACGGGUUGCUGGGCUGACACUGACGCUGAGGCGCGAAAGCCAGGGGAGCAAACGGGAUUAGAUACCCAAGUAGUCCCUG
Molecule: ribosomal RNA, 427 nt
Filed under: uncultured bacterium
Lineage: Bacteria
Description: bacterial SSU rRNA
Rfam family: Bacterial small subunit ribosomal RNA
Source: RNAcentral